CGUAGGGUGCGAGCGUUGUCCGGAAUUAUUGGGCGUAAAGAGCUUGUAGGCGGUUUGUCGCGUCUGCUGUGAAAACCUGGGGCUUAACUCUGGGCGUGCAGUGGGUACGGGCAGGCUUGAGUGUGGUAGGGGAGACUGGAAUUCCUGGUGUAGCGGUGAAAUGCGCAGAUAUCAGGAGGAACACCGAUGGCGAAGGCAGGUCUCUGGGCCAUUACUGACGCUGAGAAGCGAAAGCAUGGGGAGCGAACAGGAUU
This 254-nucleotide ribosomal RNA is filed under the name uncultured bacterium. Its description in RNAcentral is "partial 16S ribosomal RNA". It matches the Rfam family "Bacterial small subunit ribosomal RNA", at positions 526 to 779 of the family's 1533-position model. The record is from RNAcentral.